This 497-nucleotide ribosomal RNA is filed under the name uncultured bacterium. Its description in RNAcentral is "partial 16S ribosomal RNA". It matches the Rfam family "Bacterial small subunit ribosomal RNA", at positions 28 to 507 of the family's 1533-position model. The record is from RNAcentral.
GAUGAACGCUGGCGGCGUGCCUAAUACAUGCAAGUCGAGCGAACAGAUAAGGAGCUUGCUCCUUUGACGUUAGCGGCGGACGGGUGAGUAACACGUGGGUAACCUACCUAUAAGACUGGAAUAACUCCGGGAAACCGGGGCUAAUGCCGGAUAACAUUUAGAGCCGCAUGGUUCUAAAGUGAAAGAUGGUUUUGCUAUCACUUAUAGAUGGACCCGCGCCGUAUUAGCUAGUUGGUAAGGUAACGGCUUACCAAGGCAACGAUACGUAGCCGACCUGAGAGGGUGAUCGGCCACACUGGAACUGAGACACGGUCCAGACUCCUACGGGAGGCAGCAGUAGGGAAUCUUCCGCAAUGGGCGAAAGCCUGGCGGAGCAACGCCGCGUGAGUGAUGAAGGUCUUCGGAUCGUAAAACUCUGUUAUUAGGGAAGAACAAAUGUGUAAGUAACUGUGCACGUCUUGACGGUACCUAAUCAGAAAGCCACGGCUAACUACGUG